Molecule: ribosomal RNA, 260 nt
Filed under: Burkholderia sp. ISO430_OTU566
Lineage: Bacteria; Pseudomonadati; Pseudomonadota; Betaproteobacteria; Burkholderiales; Burkholderiaceae
Description: partial 16S ribosomal RNA
Rfam family: Bacterial small subunit ribosomal RNA
Source: RNAcentral
UUGAACGCUGGCGGCAUGCCUUACACAUGCAAGUCGAACGGCAGCACGGGGGUAACCCUGGUGGCGAGUGGCGAACGGGUGAGUAAUACAUCGGAACGUGUCCUGUAGUGGGGGAUAGCCCGGCGAAAGCCGGAUUAAUACCGCAUACGAUCUACGGAAGAAAGCGGGGGAUCCUUCGGGACCUCGCGCUAGAGGGGCGGCCGAUGGCAGAUUAGCUAGUUGGUGGGGUAAAGGCCUACCAAGGCGACGAUCUGUAGCUG